GCUGGAGUGCUUUCUCUAAGGUGGCAGGCUGAGAGAGUUGGGCUUGUUCAGCCUAAAGAGAAGGCUCCUGGGAGACCUUAGAGCAGCUUCCAGUACCUAAAGGGGGGCUACAAGAAAUCUGAAGAGAGGCUUUUUGCAAGGGAAUGUAAAUUUAUUUCUUUUUCAUUCUUUUUUUCUUUCAGUCUGUCUGCCUUGUACAUUCAGCAGACCAGAUUUCUCAGUCAUGUACCCACAAUGUCCAGUACAGAAUGCUUCCUGAAACAAGUAAUAUUUCCACAUGUAUCAUAAGGGCAGCAUCUUUUUGGCUGCUUGAAUUUGCAAGAGAUGUCAGGGUUAUCAGAGGAGGGCAGAGGUGAUGGAAGUCAGGUUUUACAGCUUCUCUGUGUUAUUCUGGCUGUGGAUAAAGAACAUGACUCAUGUUAGAGCUUGAAGAGAACAAAGAAGUAUUAUAGAAGUUCACAGACUGUGGCAUUCUAGCCGGUUUGGACUCAGAAUGUGGAGCCCAUGGGAAUGAUGUACACCUGAGAGUUUUUUAUGAAGUUUACCACUGAGAUUUAAGAAAAUUCUUUGUACCAUAGAAUGAUUAACUUCUGGUGAUAUGGUUCUCAAGAACCCAUUACUCCCAGUUUCUUGAAUGGAUCUGAAGCAGUGCCAAAUCCCUCAAAUUCCAAUGUAAUAUACAAUAAACCUCUGAGCUUACAGGUCUCACUGUAACUAAUUUAGAAGAUCUUAAAGAAUCAUUUUUUGAACCAAGACAUUAGAAAUAAAAAUAUGAGCAAGUCAGUAGUUGUGGACCUGCCUCAGUAGAAGGAACAGUAGGUAGAGAACUUUCCUGUUGGAUCAGAGCAAAGGUCUCUCAAAACUAGUGUCCUGUCUCCUGCAAAGGGUCUAGCAAACAGGUCAGGUAUGAAAGGAUCCUUUUGAGCACAUCAUGCCGGCUUUCAAAGAGAUGGCUAUUUAGAUACUUCAUGACCCAGCUGUAUUAUAACAGUUGUGUCCAAUACUCUCUGACAGACUUGUUUGCUCUCUGUGAGUUUAUCUAAUCUCUUUUAGAACCCAUUUAUCCCUUCACAACAUCCUGUAGUAAUGAGAACUACAAUUUAAUUAAAUACUAAGGGAAAGAAUUUAUUUUCUGUUUGUAUACUCCAGACCUGCUAUCUUCUAAUGCUGUAUACCCCUCCUACUUCUUUAAUGUGAGAAAUAAUAAUUGUGCUUUAGUUCUUCAUGCUUUGCUGCCACAGAGCAGUUGUGAAAUGGUUUCUACUUGUGGAGAAGAUACUUCAUUUUGCUGAGUCACAUGUAUGUUUUUUUCACUGACAUAAGAGAACUUGCUUUGGGCACAGAUGUUUUAAUCUCUGUGCACAAGAUUUGUUCACAAACCUUGUAAUAUUUGUAAAGGAGGGUCCUUCUCUCUUUCUUUCUUUUUCUCUUUCGUCCCUUUGUUCUUUCUGUCUGCCUGUCUUUCUGUCUUUGUCUUGAUGUAAUCAGGAGAAAAAAAACCCAUGCUUUUUCUCAAACAGACCAUUCUACUGAGAGCAGAAACAGGAAGCUAAUUUUUGCAGACAAUUUCUGUUUAAUGCUGUUGACAUAAUAUUUGAAUUCUGGAUUAUCUCAUUAAAUGUGUUAAUGCAGUUUGUUAUAUCAUAUGCAGAUGUGUUUCAAGUCUACCUGGAACACUUCAAUGAUUUCCUUCUGAAAAUAGUCUUUAGAUGUUAGUGAUACCCCACCUCCUUUAUUCUUUUGUCUUUUCCUAGUUAUCACCACUAUUUCAGGAGUGUUUGACUAUUCUUAAAGCUGGUUCCAGUCUUACACCUUCUUGUUCUUAGCCUUUUAUUUUGUCCUAAUUUUUUCCUGACUCAAAACUGUGAGCAACUUUUUGCCAUUAAUAACUUCUUCUGAAAUAAAAAAUUAUUUCCACUUGCUAGUGGAUGCAAGUGGGUAUUUCA
Molecule: long non-coding RNA, 1946 nt
Organism: Strigops habroptila (Kakapo)
Lineage: Eukaryota; Metazoa; Chordata; Aves; Psittaciformes; Psittacidae
Source: Ensembl